This 689-nucleotide ribosomal RNA is filed under the name uncultured Alkalibacterium sp. Its description in RNAcentral is "bacterial SSU rRNA". It matches the Rfam family "Bacterial small subunit ribosomal RNA", at positions 112 to 788 of the family's 1533-position model. The record is from RNAcentral. Lineage: Bacteria; Bacillati; Bacillota; Bacilli; Lactobacillales; Carnobacteriaceae.
AACACGUGGGGAACCUGCCCAUAAGAGGGGGAAACAUCCGGAAACGGGUGCUAAUACCGCAUAGGUGAUCAUAGCGCAUGCUUAGAUCAUUAAAGAUGGCUUCSGCUAUCGCUUAUGGAUGGCCCCGCGGCGUAUUAGCUAGUUGGUGAGGUAAUGGCUCACCAAGGCUGUGAUACGUAGCCGACCUGAGAGGGUGAUCGGCCACACUGGAACUGAGACACGGUCCAGACUCCUACGGGAGGCAGCAGUAGGGAAUCUUCCACAAUGGGCGAAAGCCUGAUGGAGCAAUACCGCGUGAGUGAAGAAGGUCUUCGGAUCGUAAAGYUCUGUUGUUAGAGAAGAACAAGAGGUGUAGUAACUGGCACCUCCUUGACGGUAUCUAACCAGAAAGUCACGGCUAACUACGUGCCAGCAGCCGCGGUAAUACGUAGGUGACAAGCGUUGUCCGGAUUUAUUGGGCGUAAAGCGAGCGCAGGCGGUCUUUUAAGUCUGAUGUGAAAGCCCACGGCUCAACCGUGGAGGGUCAUUGGAAACUGGAAGACUUGAAUGCAGAAGAGGAAAGUGGAAUUCCAUGUGUAGCGGUGAAAUGCGUAGAUAUAUGGAGGAACACCAGUGGCGAAGGCGACUUUCUGGUCUGUAAUUGACGCUGAGGCUCGAAAGCGUGGGGAGCGAACAGGAUUAGAUACCCU